RNAcentral lists this ribosomal RNA (800 nucleotides) under uncultured bacterium. Its description in RNAcentral is "bacterial SSU rRNA". It matches the Rfam family "Bacterial small subunit ribosomal RNA", at positions 8 to 803 of the family's 1533-position model. The record is from RNAcentral.
AGAGUUUGAUUAUGGCUCAGAUUGAACGCUGGCGGCAUGCCUUACACAUGCAAGUCGAACGGUAACGCGGGGCAACCUGGCGACGAGUGGCGAACGGGUGAGUAAUGCAUCGGAACGUGCCCAGUAGUGGGGGAUAGCCCGGCGAAAGCCGGAUUAAUACCGCAUACGACCUACGGGUGAAAGCGGGGGACUCGCAAGAGCCUCGCGCUAUUGGAGCGGCCGAUGUCAGAUUAGCUAGUUGGUGGGGUAAAUGCCUACCAAGGCGACGAUCUGUAGCUGGUCUGAGAGGACGACCAGCCACACUGGGACUGAGACACGGCCCAGACUCCUACGGGAGGCAGCAGUGGGGAAUUUUGGACAAUGGGCGCAAGCCUGAUCCAGCCAUGCCGCGUGCGGGAAGAAGGCCUUCGGGUUGUAUACCGCUUUUGUCAGGGAAGAAACGCUCUGGGUUAAUACCUCGGGGUAAUGACGGUACCUGAAGAAUAAGCACCGGCUAACUACGUGCCAGCAGCCGCGGUAAUACGUAGGGUGCAAGCGUUAAUCGGAAUUACUGGGCGUAAAGCGUGCGCAGGCGGUUAUGCAAGACAGAUGUGAAAUCCCCGGGCUCAACCUGGGAACUGCAUUUGUGACUGUAUAGCUAGAGUACGGUAGAGGGGGAUGGAAUUCCGCGUGUAGCAGUGAAAUGCGUAGAUAUGCGGAGGAACACCGAUGGCGAAGGCAAUCCCCUGGACCUGUACUGACGCUCAUGCACGAAAGCGUNNNGAGCAAACAGGAUUAGAUACCCUGGUAGUCCACGCCNU